AUAAGAGACAGGGGUAGGGGAGCGUUCUGUAAGCCGUUGAAGGUGGCCUGUGAGGGUUGCUGGAGGUAUCAGAAGUGCGAAUGCUGACAUAAGUAACGAUAAAGCGGGUGAAAAGCCCGCUCGCCGGAAGACCAAGGGUUCCUGUCCAACGUUAAUCGGGGCAGGGUGAGUCGACCCCUAAGGCGAGGCCGAAAGGCGUAGUCGAUGGGAAACAGGUUAAUAUUCCUGUACUUGGUGUUACUGCGAAGGGGGGACGGAGAAGGCUAUGUUAGCCGGGCGACGGUUGUCCCGGUUUAAGCAUGUAGGCGGAACGAUUAGGUAAAUCCGGUCGUUUAUUAACGCUGAGGUGUGAUGACGAGGCACUACGGUGCUGAAGUAACAAAUGCCCUGCUUCCAGGAAAAGCCUCUAAGCAUCAGGUAACAUCAAAUCGUACCCCAAACCGACACAGGUGGUCAGGUAGAGAAUACCAAGGCGCUUGAGAGAACUCGGGUGAAGGAACUAGGCAAAAUGGUGCCGUAACUUCGGGAGAAGGCACGCUGAUAUGUAGGUGAAGCCCCUGCGGGUGGAGCUGAAAUCAGUCGAAGAUACCAGCUGGCUGCAACUGUUUAUUAAAAACACAGCACUGUGCAAACACGAAAGUGGACGUAUACGGUGUGACGCCUGCCCGGUGCCGGAAGGUUAAUUGAUGGGGUUAGCGGCAACGCGAAGCUCUUGAUCGAAGCCCCGGUAAACGGCGGCCGUAACUAUAACGGUCCUAAGGUAGCGAAAUUCCUUGUCGGGUAAGUUCCGACCUGCACGAAUGGCGUAAUGAUGGCCAGGCUGUCUCCACCCGAGACUCAGUGAAAUUGAACUCGCUGUGAAGAUGCAGUGUACCCGCGGCAAGACGGAAAGACCCCGUGAACCUUUACUAUAGCUUGACACUGAACACUGGUCCUUGAUGUGUAGGAUAGGUGGGAGGCUUUGAAGCGUGGACGCCAGUCUGCGUGGAGCCGUCCUUGAAAUACCACCCUUUAAUGGCUGGUGUUCUAACGUAGACCCGUGAUCCGGGUUGCGGACAGUGUCUGGUGGGUAGUUUGACUGGGGCGGUCUCCUCCCAAAGAGUAACGGAGGAGCACGAAGGUUAGCUAAUCCUGGUCGGACAUCAGGAGGUUAGUGCAAUGGCAUAAGCUAGCUUGACUGCGAGAGUGACGGCUCGAGCAGGUGCGAAAGCAGGUCAUAGUGAUCCGGUGGUUCUGAAUGGAAGGGCCAUCGCUCAACGGAUAAAAGGUACUCCGGGGAUAACAGGCUGAUACCGCCCAAGAGUUCAUAUCGACGGCGGUGUUUGGCACCUCGAUGUCGGCUCAUCACAUCCUGGGGCUGAAGUAGGUCCCAAGGGUAUGGCUGUUCGCCAUUUAAAGUGGUACGCGAGCUGGGUUUAGAACGUCGUGAGACAGUUCGGUCCCUAUCUGCCGUGGGCGCUGGAGAAUUGAGGGGGGCUGCUCCUAGUACGAGAGGACCGGAGUGGACGCAUCACUGGUGUUCGGGUUGUCAUGCCAAUGGCACUGCCCGGUAGCUAAAUGCGGAAAAGAUAAGUGCUGAAAGCAUCUAAGCACGAAACUUGCCCCGAGAUGAGUUCU
RNAcentral lists this ribosomal RNA (1617 nucleotides) under Enterobacter asburiae. RNAcentral's name for it is "bacterial LSU rRNA". It matches the Rfam family "Bacterial large subunit ribosomal RNA", at positions 1215 to 2812 of the family's 2925-position model. The record is from RNAcentral. Lineage: Bacteria; Pseudomonadati; Pseudomonadota; Gammaproteobacteria; Enterobacterales; Enterobacteriaceae.